RNAcentral lists this ribosomal RNA (2075 nucleotides) under human gut metagenome. RNAcentral's name for it is "bacterial LSU rRNA". It matches the Rfam family "Bacterial large subunit ribosomal RNA", at positions 828 to 2925 of the family's 2925-position model. The record is from RNAcentral.
UCCAAUCGAACUCGGAGAUAGCUGGUUCUCCUCGAAAUAGCUUUAGGGCUAGCCUCGAGCUGGAGUCUAACGGAGGUAAAGCACUGAACUGACGCGGGGCCCAAAAAGGUUACCAACUCAUAUCAAACUAAGAAUGCCGUCAAGAUACCCUCGGGAGUCAGUCUGCGUGAGAUAAGUCGCGUGGACAAAAGGGAAAGAGCCCAGACCGACAGCUAAGGUCCCAAAGUACGUGUUAAGUGGAAAAGGAUGUGGGAUUUCAUAGACAACUAGGAUGUUGGCUUAGAAGCAGCCAUACAUUUAAAGAGUGCGUAAUAGCUCACUAGUCGAGAAAACCUGCGCCGAAAAUGUAACGGGGCUAAAACACGACACCGAAGCUACGGAUUCCUUACAAAGUAAGGAGUGGUAGAGGAGCAUCCUGCAAGGACGAAGCCAAAGUGAGAGCGAUGGUGGACGAAACAGGAGAGAGAAUGCCGGAAUGAGUAGCGAGAUACAUGUGAGAAACAUGUAGGCCGAAUAUCUAAGGAUUCCUGGGUAAAGCUAAUCUUCCCAGGGUUAGUCGGGGCCUAAGGCGAGGACGAAAGUCGUAGUCGAUGGAUAACAGGUUGAUAUUCCUGUACUACACAUAAUCAGAACUGUGGGGACGCAGGAGGAUAGGGAAACCGGGGAAUGGAAAGACCCGGUCAAGCGUAAAGCUGUGGGAGAUAGGCAAAUCCGUCUCUUGUAAGUGAAACGUGAUGAGGACUGAAAAAAAGUAAGGAAGUUUCCGAAUCCACACUGCCGAGAAAAGCCGCUAUUGCGUUAUGUGUACCCGUACCGUAAACCGACACAGGUAGAUGAGGAGAAAAUCCACAGGCCGACGGGAGAAGUGUUGUUAAGGAACUCGGCAAAAUGACCCCGUAACUUCGGGAUAAGGGGAGCCUCGCAAGAGGCCGCAGAAAAGAGGCACAAGCAACUGUUUAGCAAAAACAUAGGUCUAUGCGAAACCGUAAGGUGAAGUAUAUGGGCUGACGCCUGCCCGGUGCUGGAAGGUUAAGAGGAGAGGUUAGCGCAAGCGAAGCUUUGAAUUUAAGCCCCAGUAAACGGCGGCCGUAACUAUAACGGUCCUAAGGUAGCGAAAUUCCUUGUCAGGUAAGUUCUGACCCGCACGAAAGGCGUAAUGAUUUGUGCACUGUCUCGACAACACGCCCGGUGAAAUUGAAGAACCAGUGAAGAUACUGGUUACCCGCAACAGGACGGAAAGACCCCAUGGAGCUUUACUGCAGCCUGAUACUGGGAUUCGAUGAUAUAUGUACAGGAUAGGUGGGAGGCUAAGAAGCGAGAACGCUAGUUUUCGUGGAGCCGCCGGUGGGAUACCACUCUUAUGUCAUUGAAUUUCUAACCUGCAUCCGUAAUCCGGAUGAGGGACAAUGUCAGGCGGGCAGUUUGACUGGGGCGGUCGCCUCCUAAAAGGUAACGGAGGCGCUCGAAGGUCACCUCAGAAUGAUUGGAAACCAUUCAAAGAGUGUAAAGGCAAAAGGUGGCUUGACUGCGAGAGCGACGGCUCGAGCAGGUACGAAAGUAGGACUUAGUGAUCCGGUGGUAAUAAGUGGGAAUGCCAUCGCUCAACGGAUAAAAGCUACCCUGGGGAUAACAGGCUUAUCUCCCCCAAGAGUUCACAUCGACGGGGAGGUUUGGCACCUCGAUGUCGGCUCAUCGCAUCCUGGGGCUGAAGUAGGUCCCAAGGGUUGGGCUGUUCGCCCAUUAAAGCGGUACGCGAGCUGGGUUCAGAACGUCGUGAGACAGUUCGGUCCCUAUCCGUUGUGGGCGCAGGAAAUUUGAGAGGAGCUGUCCUUAGUACGAGAGGACCGGGAUGGACGUACCUCUGGUGUACCGGUUGCAGACCAACUGCACAGCCGGGUAGCUAUGUAUGGAACGGAUAAACGCUGAAGGCAUCUAAGCGUGAAGCCGCCCUCAAGAUAAGAUUUCCCAUUCUUCGGAAGUAAGAUCCCUUAAAGAUAAUGAGGUUGAUAGGUUGGAGGUGUAAGCAUGGUAACAUGUUCAGCUGACCAAUACUAAUAGAUCGAGGGCUUGACCAA